AGAAAGCUGGUUAGGAUGUGAGGCUGUGAGAAUGGGAACAUAGGAAGGGAAGAGGGAAGCCGCCAUCUUAGGUAGCUAGUGUUUAUAAAAUGGCCGCUUCUGAGAGAUGUGGGCUGAGUGCCAGGCAGGGUGGUGGGCACGAAGGAGAAUGACAACAGAAGGAAGGGUUUCCCAGCUGACCAAGAACAGACCUGAAUAUCACUAUCAGUGGGAUUAGAAAGGGAGGUGGACGGGGGGUGGGGGGGGGAGAGGGGUCUCCCAGAAGAGUUCUAGGGUUCAGCAUCUAAGCAGGGUAGUAGAAGCCUCAUCCCUGUGUACAGAUCCCAGAGGACUCAAGGCUAUGGGUGAUGUUGAAGGUGUGGAAGAAUCAAGUUGGAAAGACCAGCAGGAGACAGACAGAGUAAGGUUCCUUGAAUGCUUGGUUUAUGUGCCUGGCUGAA
This 440-nucleotide long non-coding RNA is filed under the name Mus spretus (western wild mouse). RNAcentral's name for it is "lncRNA (ENSMSPG00010050414.1)". The record is from RNAcentral. Lineage: Eukaryota; Metazoa; Chordata; Mammalia; Rodentia; Muridae.